AUACGGAGGGGGCUAGCGUUGUUCGGAAUUACUGGGCGUAAAGAGCACGUAGGCGGUAGAUCAAGUUAGGCGUGAAAGCCCUAGGCUUGACCUAGGAACUGCGCUUAUUACUGGUCAACUAGAGGCCGGGAGAGGGUGGUGGAAUUCCCAGUGUAGAGGUGAAAUUCGUAGAUAUUGGGAGGAACACCAGUGGCGAAGGCGGCCACCUGGACCGGUUCUGACGCUGAGGUGCGAAAGCGUGGGGAGCAAACAGGAUUAGAAACCCCAGUAGUCC
This 274-nucleotide ribosomal RNA is filed under the name uncultured bacterium. Its description in RNAcentral is "partial 16S ribosomal RNA". It matches the Rfam family "Bacterial small subunit ribosomal RNA", at positions 523 to 796 of the family's 1533-position model. The record is from RNAcentral.